This is an RNA transcript of Triticum aestivum (bread wheat), 3594 nucleotides long. RefSeq lists it as uncharacterized. Lineage: Eukaryota; Viridiplantae; Streptophyta; Magnoliopsida; Poales; Poaceae. The record is from RefSeq and is a predicted model, not a curated record. The transcript is spliced from 10 exons.
UCUCUCCUCCCCUCCGCUAGCCGUCGCCCCUCUUGAGAUCUGAAGUGUUGUUCAUCAGAAUUUCUCUGUUGCGCUGAAUCGGCUCCAAACAAAAGGUUCCAUCCCUUCUCCCUUCGGCCCUGCCUAUGUUCUACUCGCAUCUAACGUCUUCAUCUGUGUAUAUUUUGUUCAAUCUUGUGGAAGUAUCAUCGUGAUUAAGAUCUUCUUCCAAGGAUUGGAACUUAGAUAGGUUGUUACUGCUAUCUUUUUUAGGUGGCUCUAACUACAAUGCGUGUUCUGAUGGGCUAGGGUUUGUUCUCAUGGAAUAUUUCAGCAUCCAUGUACUUCAAUUUGAACAUGUCAGGAAUAGUAGCCUUGCGGAAAUACUGUUUGUUCAUGGCAAUUAAGAUGUUUUUCCUGCUGACAUUCACUAAUUCCUAGAAGUACUAUAACAAGUGCUUAUUAGAAGAUAAUUUUAGUAAUACUAGUCCUACAACAAGUGCUUAUUAGAAGAUAAUUUCAGUAUCUUUUCCAAUGGGGAACCAAAAAAUGAUUUGGGAUGGCCCUCGACGCAUUGAUGGAAGCAUGAAUGAAAAACAGUGGUGCAACUGCAACCAAGGCAGCAGUUCACUGCACUGUCCUGGUCUGAUUUGCCAGUCCGGGAGACCUGCCGUUGGUAGAUGGCAAUGGUGAUGGCGAGAUUAUGGUUACCAUUUGCUGGUUACCAUUUGCAGUCGAAUCGUUGUUAUCACAACGGGAGCGAUCAGAUGAUAGCUCAGUGCUAACUGUUUCGUGUUCAUAGCCUCUGAAAACUGUUAACUAUUCCUGUCGCGGAAUUGAAGGUUGUUGGUCCGGUCACCGUCGGGCCAUCAAUGAGCUGCAGUUUGUUAGUAGUUCAACACAGUGCUUACAAUGAAUGCAGAUUAGAAAUUUGUGCAUCAAUACUGAUAGAUAGUGUCACUUCCACACCGAACCAACUGCCAUGUUUUCCUACUUUGCAUUUCUUCCCCCUUAAUUUCAUUAGAACAAUUGAUGCUACUCUAUUCACUCUAGAUGGAACAAGGAUGUUCUAAGAAAAGAGAAGCAGAAGAGAUUGUACAUGGAGGCAAAAGAUCCAAGUGCAAUCAAUUUGAGCAUGUCGAAUCAUUUCUGAAGCUUGCAUCUGAAAUGAGUGAUAGACACAAACAGUGUGUAGGUAGAAUGGGGUUUCAAACAUUCCUAAAAAUAACAAGCAUGUCCAAUAUUGACUCCAUUCACUUGUGGCUUUCAAACCAUUUCAACACUACUUCUUGCUCCAUUGAAAUGGGAAAUGGAUUCAAAUUCCCUAUUACAACUUCAAGUGUUCACAAGAUUUUUGGUAUGCCAAUUGCUGGAGUUCCCGUCAUCACGAAACCAUCAAAAGCAACGUAUGAAUUCAUCAAGCACGGGUUUGGAACAACUUCACCCACUAUUGAGUACCUUUUCUCAAUUAUCAAUGAUAAACUUCCCGAAGAUAAAUACUGCCGAAUCUUCAUUCUGAUACUACUAUCACUGUUUGUUGCACCGAAUUCAAGUGGAGUUGUUACCAAGUUUGUCUACAACGCAGUAGUUGACAUAGACAGUAUUUCACAAUAUGAUUGGUGUCUGCUAUGUCUGAGCUACAUGGUUUAUUCAAUCAAAAAAGCAAAAGUAAACAAGGCAAGCACCAAAAAGUUCAUUCGUGCAGGAUGCAAAUGACUUAUGGUGAUAUCCUAUUUCGAGUUCCUCAUAAUAAGUGAAUUGAAGUUGCCAAGCAUUGAACCAAGACUACCACUAUGGUCGGCAAACAUGCUAAAUUCAUACAUGGCACUCGAUGCGCUCCAUGGUGAGAGAAACGAAUGUGGCAGACUACCGAUAAAACACAUCUCCUCUACUUCAUUCAAUGAUUCUGUUUUCAUUGAACUUCCUGAAGAGAUAUCGCAGUAUAUUGAAUCCAAAUUCACAGAUAUUAGUAUGACACAAGACAAGAUAAUUCUACAAAUGCAAGCUCAGAUAUUCUACAUGAAUAUCAUUCGGAACUCAGCACAUACUCUGAAGACCUAUGAAGAUGACAUGCAUACUUCAUUGCUCAAGACGUGGACAUCUUCCAGCAGCCCAAACCUACAAUUUAAAUCAUCAGUUUCGGAUAACACAUUCAGAGUUCCUAGGACUAAACAAUUGUUGGCUAUAGAAUCUCCUCCAAAUUUCCCAAUGCUAACUGUCCCAACAAUCGUUGAAGAAGAUAAACAAGUCAACAUCAAUGAAAUUCUUCAGCAUUUGGUCAAUCAUUUCACUCAUUCUCUGAACAUAACCAGCUCUAAUUUCUCUCUAUCUUUUAAUGGUAAUCUACCAUCUUUCGAAGAGCUUGCUUGUCCGAAAUUAUUUGUGAAGACAUCAAGUUGAAAAACAACACCUCCCAAUGAUGUUUCAGAAAUGUUGCAUCAUUUCAUUGAUGUUGAACUAGAUAAAGACUUGUUGCUUGAUGAAAAUUUAGUUGCAUCUCAGAAUACUCUCAACAAUACAAUGCAUGCCAAUUCAAAUGGAGAGGCUGGUACAGUCACUCAACAUGAAGGCACAGAUUCUCCUUCAUUUGAUGCAAUUACCAAUUCAAUUGAGUUAGUUCACAAUGUUCCAUUUGCAUCUUGUUCCUCUAGUCAGUUCAGCCUCUCAGCAAAUCAGUAUAGCAUGCAUUGCAAUAGUCAUGCCAAUCCCAAUGUUCCUGGAACCGAGAUCCCAAUAAGCAUAAUGGAUUUCCUAUCACCAAAACUCUACCCAAACAAUAUUGCCACACCUAUUGAAGAUUCUUUGCUAGUUAAAGCACUCGAACAACAUGAAGCACAUUCCAGUAAGUUUUCAAAACUAGAAACUUCAACUUGGCAACAACGUGUGAACAAUUCUUUCAAAUCUGCGACACUAGUAAUUCAAGAACCCAAAAAGGCUGGGCAACAUGUCAUCUUUUCAGACGGAAUAGAGAAUGAUUUCUACCAAACAUUGGUUGGACUACUUCCCAAAUUAACUUUCAGGUAAAAAUGCCCGUAUUCAAGGAAAAACAAUGGAUUUUAGUCACUGCUAACUUUAGCGCCAAAUUUUUUGAUAUCAUGAACCUGUACUACAGUGGUGAUACAUUUCUACCAACAAUUAGAGCAGUUAUCUACAACUUUAAGCUCUUGUUUGCUGCUACAUAUGGAAAUUCUACUUCUUUCAACAUAGGUAAUUUCGAAUCAAGAUUUGUAGCAGCUCCCAAGGUUAAUUUCAGGUAUGACUUAAGAAUUUUGAUUGUGCAGUAUGUUAGCAAGUACAAAUGUCUUGAAUUGCAGGGGUUCUCUAAUGAUGAUUUACAAGCUCUAUGUCAAAAAUUCCUUUUUGAGAUUGUAACAUGCAAGGACAAUGAAAUUCAACUGCCGUUAGUAACUUCUUUCCUGCAGCGACAUGGUCUCAUUAAUACUGUCACCUUCAAGGGAAGUGCACUGCAAGAUUCAACUCAAAGGAAUACUUCCAUGGCAAAAAAGUUUCCUUACUGAUAGAGCAAUCUUUUUUUGUCUUGUUGGUCUAGUGAUUGUUUCUUCCAAGACCUUCAGCUAUAAACAAUGUCUGAAAACAGCCGAAAAAGUAUUUAAA